CCUACGGGAGGCAGCAGUGAGGAAUAUUGGUCAAUGGUCGCGAGCCUGAACCAGCCAAGCCGCGUGAAGGAUGAAGGCCCUGCGUAUCGUAAACCUCUUUUGUCAGGGAACAAAGUGGGGCACGUGUCCCUGGAUGUGUGUACCUUAAGAAUAAGCAUCGGCUAACUCCGUGCCAGCAGCCGCGGGAAUACGGAGGAUCCGAGCGUUAUCCGGAUUUAUUGGGUUUAAAGGGUGGGUAGACGGGUUGUUAAUGCAGCUGGCAAAGGCUGGGGCUCAACCCUAACAUUGCAAUUGAUACUGGCAGCCUCGAGUAGAGUAGAAGUAGGCGGAAUGCGUGGUGUAGCGGUGAAAUGCAUAGAUAUCACGCAGAACUCCGAUUGCGAAGGCAGCAUAC
This 394-nucleotide ribosomal RNA is filed under the name uncultured bacterium. RNAcentral's name for it is "partial 16S ribosomal RNA". It matches the Rfam family "Bacterial small subunit ribosomal RNA", at positions 338 to 729 of the family's 1533-position model. The record is from RNAcentral.